This 331-nucleotide unclassified non-coding RNA is filed under the name soil metagenome. RNAcentral describes it as "partial contains 5.8S ribosomal RNA, internal transcribed spacer 2, and large subunit ribosomal RNA". The stretch from base 1 to 120 matches the Rfam family "5.8S ribosomal RNA", at positions 35 to 154 of the family's 154-position model. The record is from RNAcentral.
GAUGAAGAACGUAGUGAAAUGCGAUAAGUAAUGUGAAUUGCAGAAUUCAGUGAAUCAUCGAAUCUUUGAACGCACAUUGCGGCCCCUGGUAUUCCGGGGGGCAUGCCUGUUCGAGCGUCAUUUCACCACUCAAGCCUCGCUUGGUAUUGGGCAACGCGGUCCGCCGCGUGCCUCAAAUCGACCGGCUGGGUCUUCUGUCCCCUAAGCGUUGUGGAAACUAUUCGCUAAAGGGUGUUCGGGAGGCUACGCCGUAAAACAACCCCAUUUCUAAGGUUGACCUCGGAUCAGGUAGGGAUACCCGCUGAACUUAAGCAUAUCAAUAAGCGGAGGA